Molecule: ribosomal RNA, 253 nt
Filed under: uncultured bacterium
Lineage: Bacteria
Description: partial 16S ribosomal RNA
Rfam family: Bacterial small subunit ribosomal RNA
Source: RNAcentral
UACGUAGGCUGCAAGCGUUGUUCGGAGUCACUGGGCGUAAAGGGUGCGUAGGUGGUGAGGUAAGUCGGAUGUGAAAUCUCCAAGCUCAACUUGGAAAUGGCAUUGGAAACUUCCUUGCUGGAGGUUUGGAGGGGGGACUGGAAUUCUCGGUGUAGCAGUGAAAUGCGUAGAUAUCGAGAGGAACACCAGUGGCGAAGGCGAGACCCUGGACAAAACCUGACACUGAGGCACGAAAGCUAGGGGAGCAAACGGG